This 416-nucleotide long non-coding RNA is filed under the name Sorghum bicolor (sorghum). Its description in RNAcentral is "long non-coding RNA (SBIC_LNC014025)". Lineage: Eukaryota; Viridiplantae; Streptophyta; Magnoliopsida; Poales; Poaceae. The record is from RNAcentral.
ACGUAACUCCCAGCCCACCCACACCCUCAGCCACCGCUCCCCCACACCAACCCUGACGCCCGCUCCCACUCCCUCAAGCCUGACGCCCUCGACUCCCCCCUCCAACUGCGAUCCCCUCCCUUCUCGGUGACCCUCCACAACCUGACAGCCCUCUCUCUCUCACUCCCUAUCCCCCUCUCUCUCUCCACAGGCACGAGCACGGACGGCUCCUCUUGCGGCUCCUCCACAGGCGCGGGUGGCACAGCGUCACAGAGAUGAGUUCGUAGGCGGCACGGUUCCUCCAUAGGCACACGCGGCACGACGUUACAAGGGUAGGCUUGAGGGUGGGGUGGCUCCCAUCUCUGCUCUCCAUUCGUGUGAUGACGACAUGGAGGUGCGAGCAAGGUGGAUCUGGUGGAGGCCAGCGCCGUCGGUCG